UUGGUGACCCGUGAUGUGAUUUUCUUUC
This 28-nucleotide non-coding RNA is filed under the name Homo sapiens (human). The record is from RNAcentral. Lineage: Eukaryota; Metazoa; Chordata; Mammalia; Primates; Hominidae.